RNAcentral lists this ribosomal RNA (434 nucleotides) under uncultured Blautia sp. Its description in RNAcentral is "partial 16S ribosomal RNA". It matches the Rfam family "Bacterial small subunit ribosomal RNA", at positions 341 to 792 of the family's 1533-position model. Lineage: Bacteria; Bacillati; Bacillota; Clostridia; Lachnospirales; Lachnospiraceae. The record is from RNAcentral.
ACGGAAGGCAGCAGUGGGGAAUAUUGCACAAUGGGGGAAACCCUGAUGCAGCGACGCCGCGUGAAGGAAGAAGUAUCUCGGUAUGCAAACUUCUAUCAGCAGGGAAGAAAAUGACGGUACCUGACUAAGAAGCCCCGGCUAACUACGUGCCAGCAGCCGCGGUAAUACGUAGGGGGCAAGCGUUAUCCGGAUUUACUGGGUGUAAAGGGAGCGUAGACGGAAUUGCAAGUCUGAUGUGAAAGGCAUGGGCUCAACCUGUGGACUGCAUUGGAAACUGUGAUUCUUGAGUGCCGGAGGGGUAAGCGGAAUUCCUGGUGUAGCGGUGAAAUGCGUAGAUAUCAGGAGGAACACCGGUGGCGAAGGCGGCUUACUGGACGGCAACUGACGUUGAGGCUCGAAGGCGUGGGGAGCAAACAGGAUUAGAUACCCUGGUA